Mycena floridula is the source of this 91-nucleotide non-coding RNA. The record is from the annotation of a GenBank genome assembly. NCBI's taxonomy places the organism in Eukaryota, Fungi, Basidiomycota, Agaricomycetes, Agaricales, Mycenaceae.
GCUGAGAUGGCCGAGUGGUUAAGGCGAGUGAUUUGAAUUUCUCAUCAUCACUUGGAGUUUCUCCGCGUAGGUUCAAACCCUGCUCUCAGCG